GAAUGGCGUCCACCUGCCAAGGGUGAAGAGC
Molecule: non-coding RNA, 31 nt
Filed under: Homo sapiens (human)
Lineage: Eukaryota; Metazoa; Chordata; Mammalia; Primates; Hominidae
Source: RNAcentral